CACAGCCAAAUGUAAAAGCUUCAGCAGAUGAACUGUAGGAGCAAAGUUCAUGUGUGAGACUUCAUCUGAAAGUCCCCCAGGUGGAGGUGGAUUCAGGGGUGGAGUCUGUCCAACUGCCCCUCAAAACCACACUUCACCUUCCUGAAGAAGCUAAA
This is a long non-coding RNA of Oreochromis niloticus (Nile tilapia), 155 nucleotides long. RefSeq lists it as uncharacterized. The transcript has 2 exons. Lineage: Eukaryota; Metazoa; Chordata; Actinopteri; Cichliformes; Cichlidae. The record is from RefSeq and is a predicted model, not a curated record.